AAUAGCCUAACGGCUGAACCAGCAACUUGGAGGAAUGAAUAGCGAUAGCUAAUUGCAUAUAUGUAUGAUGCAAUAUCGACUCAGUCGAAUAAAAUUCUGGCUAGGAUUAUGAUAAUGACAUUGUCUAGCUAUGUGUCUUGACCAAAUUACGUGCCAGCAGUCGCGGUAAUACGUAAAAGACUAGUGUUAUUCAUCUUUAAUAGGUUUAAAGGGUACCCAGACGGUAAAUCAAGCCCUGGACGGGACUAAUUUGCUAGAGUUACUUGCACGGGGGUUAUAAAGUACUAAUGGUGUAGAGAUAAAAUUUUGUAAUACCAUUUUUCGAAAGAAAAGUUAUGGCACUGGUAAAGGCGAAAGCAUCCCCUUAUGUGAUAACUGACGUUGAAGGACGAAGGCUUUGGAUCGCAAACAGGAUUAGGUACCCUAGUAGUCUAAGCAGAGAAUUAUGAGUGUCAUAGAUUAGAAAUUAAUUUUAUUCUAUAAAUGAAAGUGUAAGCACUCCACCUCAAGAGUAAUUUGGCAACAUUGGAACUGAAAUCAUUAGACCGUUUCUGAANNNNNNNNNNNNNNNNNNNNNNUAAUUUGAUAAUCCUCAAAAAACCUUACCACAGCUUGAAUAUUUAUAUUUUUGAUAUAUUUACAUGAGUUGCACGGCUGUCUUCAGUUAAUGUCGUGAGAUUUUGGUUAGAUCCAUUAAAUUAACGUAAGCCCUUACUCUAUUUAGAUGUUUUUUUAAUUAAAAAAGCAAUAAAUAAAGUAGUUCUCCACUAUAUUGGAUAAGAUAACAGGGAUUAAGACAAGUCAUCAUGGCCUGAAUGCUGU
RNAcentral lists this ribosomal RNA (822 nucleotides) under Phyllopsora castaneocincta. RNAcentral describes it as "Phyllopsora sp. SK-2018b partial small subunit ribosomal RNA". It matches the Rfam family "Bacterial small subunit ribosomal RNA", at positions 370 to 1210 of the family's 1533-position model. The record is from RNAcentral. Lineage: Eukaryota; Fungi; Ascomycota; Lecanoromycetes; Lecanorales; Ramalinaceae.